GACGUAGGAGGCGAGCGUUAUCCGGAUUCACUGGGCGUAAAGCGCAUGUAGGCGGUUGGAUAAGUCCGUUGUUAAAGCCCCUGGCUCAACUGGGGGAGGUCAAUGGAGACCAUUCGACUUGAGGGCAACAGAGGCACAUGGAACUCCCGGUGUAGCGGUGGAAUGCGUAGAGAUCGGGAAGAACACCCGUGGCGAAGGCGGUGUGCUGGGUUGCAACUGACGCUGAGAUGCGAAAGUGUGGGGAGCAAACAGG
Molecule: ribosomal RNA, 253 nt
Filed under: uncultured bacterium
Lineage: Bacteria
Description: partial 16S ribosomal RNA
Rfam family: Bacterial small subunit ribosomal RNA
Source: RNAcentral